CCUGUCUCUGUCUAAGAUAGAGGUUGUAAUGAACAAAGACUAGAUCAUUCAACCUCUCCAUAGACAGUCUAUUGCGCCUCUUGGAGUGUACGUUCUCAAACAUACUCCAAUUGUGCUCACAACCAAAAGCACUGCAUGGUUGGCUCAAGAUGCGAAUGGCUAUUCGCUAAAGAUUUGAUGUUUUAGGACCAAACAUCUGCCACAAUCUAUCUGAGAUGAGAAAAAUAAAAAAAAAUCAGUCUCAUCUAAUAAUAAAUUGAAUAAUAUAUAAUUAAAACCAUGCUCUUAAAAUAUAUUUUUACUUGGUUGCAGUUUUGUCCGAUUGUCUUUGCAAAGCUGAUGAGAGAAGACCUCCCCUUCUGUAUCAGAAAAGGUCUCUAUCUCAUGGAUUAUAGUGCUACUAUGACCAAGUGACAUUCGCUCUAUCACCGAGUAGAGCCCAUUAAGAACCUCCUCAUCCACCUUGAAAUCAAGGCAGAAUUGGAAUGUCGGAUUGAGGUAAUAAGUGGCUGCAUGGAGGGGCUUGUGAAGCUGAACAUGCCAUCUCCUAUCAGUGAUAUCCCAAAUGGGACGAUACUUACUCUCAUCUCCUCCAUAGACAGAUCUGAUGGCCUCCUUGGCCCUAUCCAUGCCCUUCAAGAAUUGACAGAGGGGAGCGAACUUCGUGAAUUGACAGAGGGGAGAGAACUUCAAGAAUUGACAGAGGGGAGCGGACUUCAUGAAUUGACAGAGGGGAGCGAACUUCAUGAAUUGAGGGAGGGGAGCGAACCUCAUGUCCAAGGCUAAGGGAGCACACUUCAAGAGCAUCACCUUUGGAGUGAAUUUCCUCUAGAGGCCUUCCCUAAGGACAAUUCAUCAUGUUUGCAUCAAUAAAUGAAGGAAAAUGAAUGAAAGUGAGUUCAAAGACAAGUUUAAGGGUAACUUCAUGAGCAUGAGGGUUGGAGCGAACUUCAAGUGCUCCUCUCUAGGAGCGAAAAAACAACUUCAAGUGCUCCUUCAUGAGAGUGGAUUUUCUGUAAACCAAACCUACAAAACACAUAAAAUCAAAGAAUAUAUCAAGUUAAAAGAACUAUCAAGGCUAUAUAUUAUACUUAUUUGAUGCCAUACUUGUUUUGUUUUGAAGAUAUGAAAGGAAGAUGAUGCAAAAUGCAAAGUAGCACCUUGAAGAAAUGAGAGAGGGAAGAUUGCAAGACCCCGCCACCAUGUUACUCCAAGAAGAAAACUCCAUCAGCGAGCACAAGAGUAUCAAGGAAGGAAGGAAGAAUCUCAAGAACUUUCACCUCAUCAAGAUGACAUGAAAAGGUCAAGACCUUGAAGUAUAAACAGAUAUCACACAACUAUCUCAAGGUAGGAUAAACAAGCAAGGAUGGAUGAAUGAUGCUUCCCACCAUCACACCAAGCAUCGAGCAAGCUUGUAAUGUUGAGUAUCAAAUCUUCCAAGUCUACAAGCAAAUUGAACUGGCAUCCUAGUCAUCACUCACCAAAUCUAGGAGUUCCACAUCAACACGUCUUGAUUCAAUGUACUUGACUUGCCCAUGAUGGCACAAACUUCGAGGCACCUACCCUUAUCAUCUAUUGGCUAUGCUAAAGUGUUGUAAUUAUUUCAUUGGCCAGAACUGAGUUUGUUGUAACAAACCCUAAUAAGGGUUUUCAUUGUAAAAUCUCGGCCAUUGAUCUUAAAUUGAUUUGACCCAUUGAAUUGUAUUGAGAGCAUUAUAAAAGGUUCAAGCUCUUCAUUUGUAAAGGUUAAUAGAUAGUUUUUGAAGAAUAGAAUAGAAUAGCAAUUAGAAUAGAAGUUAGAUUAGGAGAAGGCAAAGAUUAUUGCCAAGCCUUGUUGUAAAGAACAAUUGAUUUCAUUGAAGUUAUGGUGAAUUUGAUUUGUUACGUCAACAACUUGCAUGGUCUUUACUUCUCAAUUUACUUUCAUGUUGGUUAGAUCAAAUGGAGGAAUUUGUUAAAUGCAGUUGUGUGGAAUCCGUUUAGUCCCUACCACUAGCCUCUUGCUGAUUGUAAGUGUGCCUUGCGUGGUCAACUGGAAUGAUAUGAGCUUAAUUUCAAAUUAUUAUGCGUCCAUUGUUUACACAUUAACUUGAAUGGUGAUCAAUGUUUGAUGAUAAUGAUUUGAACAUCUUUGAACUAUCCCUUAGAAGAUUGCACUGAGCUUGUGUCAAAUUGUUCAAUUUGAUGGUGAGACGUUGCCCAGUAGGAUUCUAUCUAAUCAUUCACCCAUAUUCUUACAUUCUAGGCCUUAGAAUAGACUUUCUCAACCCUUCAUCUUUUUUUUUUUUUUCAAACUCAAGCUAGUUUAGGAUAAAAAGCAUCACAAGAUUACAACAUCAGAUGAUCAAGUUCUAGCGAUUCAAGCAUUCAACAAUUCAACGUAAGUCCCCUUGUGAUACCAACAAUCACAUCAACCAACUGUGCUUAUCUCCUUUCCAUGCUCUAUCCUUUCUUGUGGAGUUGCCUCUUCUUCAACCUGGACUCCUGAUGACCCUUCAGUUGACUCAUCAUGAGAUUCCAAGUCUCCCAUUAGAUUGUAAGACAGGAAGACAUUCUUUGCUUUCAACUUAGCGAUGUGCCGUUCAACCUAGUGCUUAGGGAACUUCAUAAUUGGCUUGCUUAGAGCAUCUAAAUCAUGAACUUCUAGUUCUGACCCGUUAGGUGCCUAAAUUGGCUUAUCCUUCUACUUUCAUAAUCUGGUUGAAUGGUAUUCACAUCUUCUAUUUGAUCCAACACUUGAAUGAUUUCAUGGAUUCUUAUCAACUUAAGAGGCAAUCUAGAAAACAUCCUCUUUCUGAUUUCAUAGUCAUCCUUGGCAUUAGCCCAAUAAUCCUCCAGUUGAAUUCUAUGCCUGUGCCUCACGUCCACUACCAUCCUUAUCUUAUCAUACGGAUCAAAAUCCGACCUUGCGGUGUGAAGUGCGAGGUGAUUGAAUAUUAAUUCAUCUGCUGACUUCUUUGCUGCUGCCGAUGAUGGGCACAUUUCAUUAUAAUCUCAUAUGACAAUUGGAAAUUCAAGCCCAAUCUUCUUCUUCUUCGUUUGCUUCUUGUCAUAGGCAGUCAACUGUCUAGUUACUUCCAACAACACCAUCUUAUAUGUUGGAUAUCUUGGGAGUCUGUAGGGCUAGGCAGAGAAUCCUUGGACUCUAAUGUAAGUGAACUUCAGAAAGUGAAUGAACCAGGCCCCAUACUUCUUUACCAACUUCCUUUCCUCUUGCGACAACCUUGUGUGAACUCCUCCUUGCAAAGAUCUAGCAAUAUGAAUAGUGAAGGUGUCGCUUGCUUUCUUGAAAGAAGUAGGAUCAUAUAAGUGCAAUUGUGAAUAACACUUUCCUAGUUUGCAUCCCAUGGGUCCUUUACUUGGUAGUCCGCUGAAUUUGCCCAUUUUAGCCAACAUGUAGACAAUAUACGAGCUCAUGUAGGACUGGGAUUGCUUCAAAUUUCUUAGCUGCUUGUCCGGGUUGUUGCUAAUUAUUCUUGCCCAGUUUACCACCUUUAUGCCAUCCAUUAAUUCCCGAAUGAAGUAAAAAAUCCAAGAUUCGAAGAUGUAAGCCCAUGGACAUCCUAUAACCCAGCUCAUCAUCAACACAAGAUCGCCAUAUUCUUGCAUGAAGUCCAUGUUGGUGAGCUGCUUGGGUAUCUUUGAAAUGUGAGGCUUCGACUUCUGCAUCCAUAUUCUAUUGAUGAUUCUAGCUCAUCUCUCAAAGACAAAAUUAUAAAUCAAAGUCGCUCUUUCCUUAAUCUUAUACAUCAUGGAAUGAAAUGCGGGAAUUCCAAAAGCUUCACCAAUUGAUUCAGUGGUGAGAUUUCCCAAGAGCCUUCCAUCAAGUGCCAAAAUCGCUCUUUUCUCAGCGGCAUAAUGCUUUGCACAUUCCAUGAUCAGCUCCAGGCACUAGAUGGUAGGAGGGAAGCCGACAGCUGCUACAAUUCCACUUAUGACUAUCUUCUUGGCAGUAGCUAAUGAAGGAUGUCCGUCUUGACCAUAUACUCUCUUCCUGAAUUCUCCCAACUUGAAAGUUCCCAAGUUGGUAUCUCUGACUUCCCUCCAUUUUGAAAUCAUUUGUCUUUGAGAGGAAUCCUCUCUGUUUGUUCUUAAUCUGCGCAUGCCGGGAAGUAUUCGCCACCUUGCUAGAUUCUGCCAUUCUUGCAAAAUAAAAUAAUUAACAUAAAAUUCCUGACAAGAGAAUUCCAAAAUUUUGCCAAGGGAAGAAUCCCAUGUUGUUACUUCCAGACUUGGAAUAAAUAACAAAAAACCCUCCAAAAAAGAGAAAUUUUGGAUAAAAACCGUGCCCUAGUUAUUCUUCGCUUUGCUUUUGCUUCAAUUUUCUCCAAAACGUGUUGUGAAGAAUGAACUCCAAAACCUUGUUUAAAUUGAAAUUGUCCACCAAGUUGCUAAGUUGGCGAUGAGAUAACUUUAGCAGUUGCAUUUAUUUAUUCCAAUCACACUUCAUGUUUCCUUAAUGAGAGAGACAACUCAUCAUUUCAGUGGACCUUGCUUGCCAUUCUUGAGUUCAAAAUUAGGAACUUCCAUAAUCUCUUAAGUCAUGCUUCAUUAAUGCGAAAUAUUCCAUUUUGCAUGUUGCCAGCUUGUCUUUCACAAGAUUCUUUCUAUCCUAGGCAUACAAAAGAUAUCUUGGAGGAUUUUCUUGCCUUGGAGGAAAUUUUAUGACUUUUUCCAUUUUAGAAGAAUUCCUAAGUGCAUAUCAAUCUUGGAGAAGGAAAAUUCCUCUCCUUGUGCAAUUUUGCCAUUUCAAGUUCUAUGAAUGCUUGGGCAUGUUUUGUCUUGAAGGAGGAAUUUUCUGAUACUUAACCAGUUUUUCCAUUUUCCAAAGAAUUGUGUCCUGUUUGGAGUCCAGAGUAGGAGAAUUCUCAACACACAGCCAAUUUUAAUUGCUUUCUAGGAAUCCACUUUACAUGGGCGCAUUUGAAGCCUAAUGGAGGAAUUCAUCUUGAGAGGAAAAAUCCUCCUUGACAUGGAUUUUGUGCCCUCCUCCUUGCCUUCAGCGCAUUUGAGGUUUGAGGUGAGGUGAAGGAAUUUUCGGAAAAUGGAAAAUUCCUUCCAUGCUUGGGAUUUGUGCCCUCCUCCCUGUCUUGGGUACAUCUAGGGGGUGAAGGAGGAAUUUUACUUGAGAGGAAAAAUCCUCCUUGACAUGGAUUUUGUGCCCUCCUCCUUGCCUUGAGUGCAUUUGACUGAUGGAGGAGGAAUUUUGAGUGGAGGAUGAAUUCCUCCUUGACUAAAGAAUUGCUUUUUGUCUCCUCUCUUGAGUGCUUUUGAGGUGUAGAGGAGGAAUUUUGAGAUUUGGAGGAUUCCUCCUGUUCCUUGAAAUUGCACCCAAGAAUAGACUUUUUCCAUGUCUUGUCAUUUCGGGAAGGAUUUCUAGAUAGCCAAAAUUUUGAUCACAUGCUUGCUCUUCAACUUUUCCGGAUUUAGAAUUGGAUAUUCAGGAAUGUUUUGCCGUUAGUGCCCUACCAAUUGCUAGAGAUAGACUUUCCAAAAAUAGAGUUACUAAAAAUAGUAAGUUCUUCCAAACACCAAAUUAGAGCAGAUCGGGACAUAGUGACGCUUAUUAAAAAUAGACUUUCUAAAAACGGACACUGCUAAAAAUAGUAAGUUUGUUUAAACACAAAAUUAGGCCAAUCCAGGCCAAAAUGAAACUUACUAAAAGUAGUAAGUCCUCAGAAUUCACUCAAAUUUUUUUGGUAGCUUCCUUGAAGGGAACUCAUUCCAAUGCUUUGCUCAGAUUUCUCAAAACCCUAGGCUAUGAACCUCAUUUCUAAGUCUGAAGGAUAAAAGCCCUAAAAUAGACAAUACAAGCUGCCAAACAUAAGCCAAAUUUCUCCAAAACACUUGCAGACUUAGCCAAAAUUCGCUAAAACACUUGGGGACUUGAGGAGAUUGAAGAAAUUUACUGCCAAACUGCCCAAAAGACCACAACCAAAAGACCAAGUGGACAAAAAUGUAAGGGUCCGCAUUUGGAAAGGGGUGAUGUGUGAUUAGGUCACAAUAGGACCCAUGAAUGAUUGUAUACAAAUUUGCAAAUAUUUUUUGCCUUCUCUACACAUGUCCUAAUUCAUGGAAGCUUGCCAAUAUCCUCCAACAUGAGGUCAAGGCAAUGGGCGACACAUGGAGACCAAAAUAUAGAUAGGUGUCUCUCCAUCAAAAGUUUACCUGCAGCAACAUAAUUUGCCGCAUUAUCGGUUACCACUUGUACUACAUUCUCCUCACCCACCUCAUGUAUGACCUCCUCUAUGGCCUCACAUAGGAAAGUGGCAUUUUUUGAAUUUGCAGAAGCAUCAAUGGACUUUAGGAACAUGGUGCCACUUGAAAUUUGAAAAUAAAGCAAAAUCAAUGAUCAUUCAAUAAAUCUUAAAUUAAAAAUACUAAUUACUAAAUCAAAUUCAAAUUAUUCAAUCACCUGUUGAAGAAACAAGAAAAUUCAGGAGCGUCUUGUUUCUCCCAUCGGUCCAACUAUCGGUCAUGAUGGUGCAACCCUUCUUGCUUGAUAUCUCGUGCAGGUCCUCUAAUGUGGCUUUUACAUCAGUCACUGAUACUAUCAAAAUUGGGCCACUUAAGUCAGAUUCAGAAGGGGCUUUGAACCUCGCCCCACAAAUAGUGAUGGCAUCAACCAUGCUCUGCCAAUAAGGAGACCUAUCACAAAUAAAUUAAAUAACAUAAGUAUGUCCAAUAAAAAUUCAUUAGACAAAGCAAAAUGUAAAUAUUAAAAAUUUAAAACAAUCAAAUAAAAAGGAAUUAUCUAGCUGCAAAGAAUGGAAUGGUGCAGUAGUACCAAAAUCUCCCAUUUGUAUGUCUAGCCGCAUCAUGUACCUCCUUGUUCCAACCUGUUGUGAGGUAUUCACACAUUGCCCCAUUGAAAAUGGGGACCCCCACUUUUUCGCUUUCUAGGGUAGUUGUCCCAGUUUAGUCGUAGGGUGUGUUAAGAGUCCUUAGCUAUUAGCCUUUGCAUUGAGGAGGUAUAGAUGGUCAAGAGGUCAGGAGUCAGGUGGAUAACCUUGUGUGAGGGGUGAAAUAAAAAGGUACUGAUGGAGAAACCCUUAAUCAAGUCUAAUCAACAACGCAGGAGUUUCCUUGAUCAUCCGGGUGACUUAUAUAUGUUACAGCGAAAGCUGACUUCUAGAGGCAAAAUUUAACUAAGCAUGCCAAAAUUUCAAGUGCCCCCUAAUUGGAGCAAAAUCUUCUUCUCUUGCUCAUAAUUAGGAGCGAAAUGGACUUCUUGAGCAGCAUUUGAGGGAAAUGAGUGAGUUUAUAGGCCUUUAACAACAUUUUCAUCAUAGAGGAAGUGAAGCCCAUCAUGAGUUCAACCGAAGGAUGAAUGAGAGAUUGCUAGUUAGGGAUGCUUCAAGUGCUCCUCUUCUGGAGCUAAAUUCACUUCAAGUGCCCCUCUCCUAGAGCAAAUUUCACCCUUGUUGCCUCAAGUCGAAAGAGAAAUCAUAUUCAAGGUGAGUUUUGAGGUCUUAUAGUAUAUGGAGGCAUAAACUAAGGCAUAGAGUAGUAAGAUUCAACUCAUAAGUGCGUGUUCAAGCUACUUCAAGUGCUAAAGGUUGAGGCGAAAAACUUCAAGUGCUCUCUAGUGAGAGCGUAAUUCAUUUCAAAUGCCCUUAGUUGAGAGCGAAAUUGUUUCUAGAAUGCCCCAUGGGCCUAGUUUCAUCAAAAUUGAAUGAAUAGAAUGAAGGAAGAUGAGUGAGCAAACACUAAGUGUCAAGUUUCAAUCCACUUUGGGUGCACCACUCUUAGAGGGAACUUCAUGUGCAUGAGAUUUGGAGCGAACUUCAGGUGCAUCACUUGUGGAGCGAACUUCAUGUGCCUCUCUUUCAAAGUGAAAUUCCUCCUAAAGACCCCAUGUUGAGCAUGGUAUGAUGCACAAGAUUUGAGAAGGUGAGUGUAAGUGAGUGAAGGAGAGUUAAGUGUUUAUUUGAAAAACACUUCAAGUGCACCUUCUUUGGAGCGAAUUUCACUUCAAGUGCUCUUUGAUAGGAGCGAAUUUUCCUUGUAGGCUUUCCAUGAGGUGAGUUUGACAUGUUUUCAUGAUUGAAUGUUUAAAAAACAUAAGGUUUGAGUCAAUGAAGCAAUAAAAAUGAUUGAGAAUGAGUUCAGUUUUGACUUGAAAUUCACUUCAAUUGCAUGCAAAUUAGAGCGAACUUCAAGUGCAUGCAAAUUGGAGCAAACUUCAAGUGCAUGGGUUGUGGAGCGAACUUCAUGUGCAUGAACCUUGGAGCGAAUUUGCCUCAUUUGCCCAAGAUAAGACGAAAAAUUGCUUACAGAUAAUUGCCUUGAGCCGAUUUGAUAUCUUCAUAUGCUUAGAAAAGAACAAUUUUGAAUUUGAGAUGAUGAAGGGCAAGUUAGAGGGUUACUUCAAGUGCAUCCAUCUUGGAGCGAACUUCAUGUGCACCCAUCUUGGAGCGAACUUCAUGUGCUCCACUCUCGGAGCGAAAUUCCUAUAGAGGCGUUCCCUAAGGUUGGUUUGUCAUGUUAUCAUCAAUAAAUGGUUGAAAGACUCAAUGUUAGAACCCAUAGAAUGAAGGGAAACAAGUGAAAGCAAGUUCAAUGACGAGUUUGAAGAUCACUUCAUGUGCAUCCAGAAGGCCAUAAUGUGCCCUAUCAAGCACAUCCUGAGGUGACUAAAAUGUUUGUGGAUUUAAAAACUCAUUACUUUUGGCCAAAAAUGAAGGAGAUAGCUAGUUAUGUCACCAAAUGUCUUGAAUGCCAACGCAUUAAAGAAACAAAUUGCCAUCCUACUAGAGCCCUCUAUCCUUGUGAUUUGCCUUGGCAAAAAUGAUUAGUAAUUUCCAUGGAUUUCAUGACAGGUUUUCCCAAAACUUGGAACUGGCAUGACAUUAUUGGGAUAGUGGUUGACAAACUAACCAAGGUAGCACACUUUGCAAUGUGAAGGAUGAUGCCCUUGUUUUGGCUAAAAGAUUCAUAAAGGAAGUCAUUAGAUUGCAUGGAAUGCCUAAGGUGAUUAUUUUUGAUAGAGAUAAGUUGUUUACUUUUAGGUUUUGGACCUCUCUUACGACCACGUUGGGUACCAAACUCAAUUUUAUCACCUCUUACCACCUUGAAAUGGAUGAUCAAAUAGAAAGAGUUAACUAAAUUAUGGAUUAUAUGCUCCUAAUGUAUGCCAUGGAUCAGCCCACUAAGUGGGAAGAGCAUUUGUCUAUAGUCAAGUUUUCCUGUAACAACUCAUACCAUUCUUCCAUUCAAAUAGCACUAUUUGAAGCAUUCUAUGGCAAGAAGUGUGAAAUGCUUAUAGGAUGGGAUGGUUUAGAUAAUCGUGUAACUAUUGGGCUGGAGCAAGUCCAAGAAUAUGACAAUCGAGUGAAAAUUAUAAGGGAAAGGCUGAAGGAAGCUUCAAAUUGUCAAAAGAGUUAUGCAGAUGCUAAGCAAACUCCAAGGGAAUUUUCAGUAGGUGACAAUUUGUUUCAUCGUAUCAGACCUCAUAAAAGCUCAAUUAAAUUUAGCAAGGUUUCCAAACUAGCUCCACGAUUCAUAGGACCUUUUGAGAUACUUAAGAUUAGUUGCGUGGCUUACCAAUUGGCUCUUCUACCAUCUCUAUCACAUUCAUAAUGUAUUCCACGGGGGCUUCACUAUCUAGGCAAUAUUAUAUCACGUGCAUUCAUAUUGGGGGGUUUAAUAUCCCAAAAAUGAGGGUGUAAUAUAUUGCCUAUUGGUGAAAAUAGGGUUUUUUUUAAUUCCAACUAUGAAAAAAUACAAUAUUUGGUGAAAAUAGGGGGGCUUUUAAUUUGGUCUGUGUAUUAGGAGGGGGUGAAAGAAAAUGAGUUUAGGGCAAUAAUUUUUGAAAAUAGGGGGAUUCUUUAGUAUGCCAUAACACACAUGCUAUAACCCAGGUUCACUAAGUGAAGCUCCUGUGAUGUAUUCCUUGUAUCAUUGCUUAAGAAAUAAUUGUUGACCCCACACAUGUGAUUGAUUGACAAGCACUGCAAGUAGAAGAGGCUAUAGAUAUCCACCUCGAUCUGCUCACAAUCAUAGAUAGGAACAACUUGUAGCUAUGCAACUAGACUAUCUAGCAAGUUAAGGUGCUAUGGGACCAAUAUGCAGAACAUGGAGCCACUUGGGAAGAUGAAAAUGUAAUUAAAUUAGAAUAUCCUUGUUUAAUUAAGCCAAACCGACUUAAUCCUAAGGGGGGGAGUACAUCAUAUCCCUAGAAAGCUUAUUAAUUCUCUUCGAUGACCCCUAGCCUCUAUGUAAUGUGGACUAGAGAUGUAGUUUUGGAUUUCGUUAUGUGGACCUAUGUCUUUGUGUCUUGGUUGUGAACCUUGAUGCCAAUAUUAUUGAGUGUAAUUACUAUCCUUAUAAUGUAUUUUUAAAUUUAAUGCAUUGAUUUGUUUGGACUAACCCAAACUAAUGAAUGGUUGGUGGACUUGUGUGAGAUUUGUUGUUGGCUGCAGGCACCUGGGGUGCAAGAUGAAGUAGAUUUUGUGGUUCUGUGAUGAGAGAUAGACAAACAUUAUUCACAUAGAAUGGAGGACAUUAGAUAAAUUAAAGCCAAACCAAAAUCUCAUCAACGAAGUGCAUAAAGUGGAGGAAAAUAAAAAUAAGGAAGACAUGGGAAUGAAAAACUCGUGAGGCAAUCGACCUACAGCAGCUGCCAUCAAUGGUGCCACCUACUCCUUCCUACAAGAGGAGACAGCCUGCAAUCAAUGAGGAAUGGUGAUGGGCUUGGGAAAAAUAGGCGAUCGUUCCUCGAGAGGCAUGGCAACGCCAAAAAGGAAGGACAUUUUGCAGGUUUUGACUAAAAAACAGCAUGUCUUUUGUAAUAAAAAUCCCCAUGACCUUUGGAAUAGAUAGCUUUUUUUGUUGGGGCUUGGAAGGCAGAGUAGUGGGAAGGAGGUAGCAAUCUGGGCAAUUGAUGGUGAAAGGAUUUGGGAAGAAGGAAAGUGCUAAGAGUGACAGGGUUAAGGAAGAAAACCUCUCCAAAUCAUAUGCUAGAACCUUGGACACCAUUGCUCCAGGUUUUCAUAUUCAUUUAGUUUUUCUUUCUGAAUAUAUUUGCUAUUUUCCAUGUUAAAAAAGAAUGAAAAUCUGUUAAAAAUGUUGAGUAAUUUUAGAACAUUUAUCUAAUUGUUUAUUAAUUAGGUCCUUUAAUUGCUUUUUCACUUAAGCUAAAUUUAGGUGCUUUUUAUUAACUAGAGUUUUCUUUUCUAACAUUAGUUGUAGAUGUAGUUGAGCUUAAUUUAGCUUUUACUUUGCAUUGCUUUAGUUCUCCUAAUUUUAGCAUUAGGGUUUGCCCUUAGAGUUCCAAUCAUCCUUUAUAAGGAUUCAUUCAUUCAUUGUAAUUUUACCUCUAAAAUUGUAUCUUCAAUCAUUCUUUGUGCAUGAUAUAGAUUCUUUGGUUGUUAUAGAACAUACAAUCUUUGCUUGAUCUCUUUUGUGUGAUAGUUGUUUUGCUUGCAGAUGAAUUUUGGCUCUUGUAGUUGAUCAUCAACUUCUACAAAAAAUGCCUCUUGGUAAUAGCUGCAACUUGGGAUAUGAAUGCUGUGGAUGUUGGAAUGAAAGCAAAGCCUUAGUUAACCCAAAUAUACAAAAUCGCCUUCAUCAAGUGCUGCAAUCCUUAUGGGUAUGAUUGUUGUUUGCCUCUCUUUCUUUCUCGCUUUUAGCUUGCCAAGGAGCCUUAUUGGAGAUAGGUUUUCUUGCUAGAUUAUAAAUGAAUAACCUAGUAUAACUAACUGUACGAAUAACCAGCAAUAAAUGAUUUAAAUAUACAGAAUGCAUAGGCUAAAUAAUAAGCUAUUAUUGUGGGACAGUGUGAGGUGCACUUUACCAUUGUGAUGGUAUGCCUGCUGUUGAAAUUUAACAUUCUUUUAAUUUUUUAAUUGAACAUGUUAUGGUCUUGAUACAAGUCGUUGUGAGAGUGAAAAUUCAUGAUAAUAUGCAUUCCAUCAAAUUAAAACAGUAGUACUAUAUUCCAUACUGAAUACAACUAUCGAUUGACCCUUCUUGCCUUGUUUCCUUAUUAAAUAACUGGGCUGGUUAUGAAGAUCUUGAUUCUCGAAUAGGACCUCCUCGAUGUGCAAUCCUCAUUAAAUUUAAGGAUCUUAGUCCCUUGAGUUAAUUCAUAGAUCAGGUUGUUGUACUUAAUAAAUUUUAAUCACACAAACAAAUUAUUUAUGGUUCCCUAUCUCAUCCUCUAGUUAUAGUGCUAAGUGGGUAUAUUUCAUCCUCUAGUUAUAGUGCUAUGUCAGGUAUAGGCACUAACUUUUUACAGAAACGGAUGGAGUAAGGGUCCUAUGGGGAUAGAUAGAGGCUAAAUACCUCUAAUACAUAGGCUACCCUUUUCCAUAUCAGGUGAUCACUGAUGGUUAAAUCCUAUGAUCUGUUCAGAGAUAAGCUUAUCCAUGCUCGAGAUUGACAGUAGUCAAGGAGCAUAUUAUGUCAGUGAACUGUUAGCCGUACCACUUGAUGGUGGGAUGGAUUCCGCUAGGAGCAUGUGGGCCUUGGGGCCAAUGGCAUGCUGACAAUGGAUGUUAUUGGUUGCUUAGCUGCCCAAUGGACUGCAGGGAAGAGGAUUUCUAAUGAAGCAUAAGUAGGUAAUAGAUUGAACCCACUCUAUUGGAACACCUUGGGUAAUUGGUCUUUAGGAGGUUAUCCCUAUGCACUGCAGGAUGCUGAAUGUCCACUCGCUCACCACGGAACACAAAAUUUGCUUGGAGGAAUGGAUAGGGUUUAUACCCGCAUUGGAGGGUUCGUAUUGCAUCCUGAGGUGAACCAUGGCAGAUUCAAGACAAGAAGUCUACAUGACCAGGCAAAACACUUAUGGUAUUCUCAAGGAACACCAUGCAUUUGACAAAAUGUUUGCAAAAAAGGUUUUUACAGGGAAUGUGAUGAUUACAGGCUAGCCACAGAAUGGACAAGGUAACGAGGCUUUGAAACUCUUUCAUGAAAUGAAAAAAUGAGGCAUUAAGCCCAAUUCAAUUGCAACAGCAAGCAUUCUUCCUGCCUGUGCUCACACGGCAGCUUUAUAUCAGGGCAUAGAAAUUCAUAAUUAUAUUAUUUAAAAUGGAUAUAACUCAAAUUCCCUUGUAUUAAAUGCUCUAAUAGAUAUGUAUGCAAAAUGUGGAGAUAAAAAGGAUGCCCGUAGAGUCUGACAAAAUGCCAACAAGAUGUGUAGUAUUUGGCAAAAUACCAACAAAAUGACACAAUGCAAUGAUCACUGCAUAUGCCUUGCACGGAAAGGGUGAAGAUUCUUUAGCUAUAACAACCAAAUGCAACAGACAGCUUUAAUGCCAGACUACAUCACUUUCAUUGAUGUUUUGUCUGCAUGCACCCAUGCAGGAAUGGUCUGUAAAGGCAUGGAAUUAUUUGAUUUUGUGAACCCAGUUUGUCACAUUGCAACCUGUGCAGAGCAUUAUUCAUGUGUGGUUGACCUUCUUGGCCAUGCUGGCGACCUUAUGAAGCAUGUGACAUUGUCAUCAGCAUGACAUUUGAACCUAGAGCUAUUAUUGUGUUGUUGUGCUUGCUUCAUGCAGAACUCAUUGUACUGUGCAGAUUGGAGAACUUAUGGCAGAGCAUCUUUUUAAGUUGGAGCCUGAAAAUUCUGGAAAUUACAUAUUGCUUUCAAGCAUCUAUUCUGCAAUUUGCAGGUGGGAUGAUGCAGAAAGGGUUAGGAAGAUGACGAGAGGCAGAGAGGUGAGCAAGAAUCUAGGAUGUGAUUGGAUUGAGAUUGAACCUACAGCUAGUAUAUGUGUUGCCGUGCUUACUUGUUACAGAACUCAUUGUAAUGUGCACAUUGGAGGACUUAUGGCAGAGUAUCUUUUCAAGUUGGAGCCUGAAAAUUCUGGAAAUCGCAUAUUGCUUUCAAGCAUCUAUUCUGCAAUUUGCAGGUGGGAUGAUGCAGAAAGGGUUAGGAAGAUGAUGAGAGGCGGAGGGGUGAGCGAGAAUCUAGAAUGUGAUUGGAUUGAGAUUGACAAGCAGUAGGGAAUGAAUCACAUCUAGAAAUGGGGAAAUUUUGUGACUCUGGAGAGCUUGGCAUGCCAGAUGAAGGAGGCAGCGUAUGUGCCUGGGUAAAAUUUUGUGCUCCAUAGUGUGAAGGAUGAAUGUGCCCUCUAGUCUCAGCGAAAAGAGCCAUUAUUUUUUGGCUUGUCAUCACCUUACCUGGUACACCUCUCGGUGUUAAGAAAACAGGGGCAGAACAAAGCAAUAUUAAUCUGUUACAAAUUAGACAGAGAAAAAUACCAGAUACAGAGAGACAACAAAGUAACAUGGUUCACCAAUCAAUUGGCUACAUCCGCAGGAAAGCGGUCUUAGUUUUUUCUUUUAUUAAUUUGCAGUGAACAGAUGAAGUUUUUCAGUAGAGACAAAUGUUACAUUCACACACUAACAUUGAACAUGUCAAUGAAGAUGAAGAGUCAAAAGACAAGGCAGAUGUAAAAAACAGUUGGCUGGAGCUGAAGAGAUGGACUUCACAACUGAACACUCUCGGAAUCAUCAAGAAUCUAUGCGUCUGGGAAUUAUGAUACUGCUACUAAGUAUAUCUCAAAGAUUGUUGGCUGAGAAAUUAUAAUGAGGGAUUCCAAAUGGUAUGUUAAUCACAAGGAUGAUAAAUGUUCUUGUGAGGAAUAUUGCUAAUGGUAAUUGGAUCAACAAAAGUCCAGCAUACUAGGCUACAUGGUCAAAUAUCUAUGUAUCUAGUUGUGACCAAGGAAUAUGUCAAUUUUCUGUUUCAUAUUUCUUUCUGCGAUUUGAGAUGUAGGUUAUAAUCACUGAGAAGAUAGAAAUUAUUGUAGAAAAUGCAUGGGUACUUCGGUGUUUUUGCCCUUUAAGGAAAGCUGACCUGUUGUUAACUUAUA
Molecule: long non-coding RNA, 14822 nt
Organism: Cryptomeria japonica (Japanese cedar)
Lineage: Eukaryota; Viridiplantae; Streptophyta; Pinopsida; Cupressales; Cupressaceae
Exons: 2
Source: RefSeq, a predicted model, not a curated record